Hippocampus zosterae (dwarf seahorse) is the source of this 698-nucleotide long non-coding RNA. RefSeq lists it as uncharacterized. NCBI's taxonomy places the organism in Eukaryota, Metazoa, Chordata, Actinopteri, Syngnathiformes, Syngnathidae. The transcript has 3 exons. The record is from RefSeq and is a predicted model, not a curated record.
UCAUAUUUGGGGACUUGCCACCUGUCUGUUGCCGGCGGCAUGCAAUCUAGCUUGAGGCGUUCUGGGGCGAUGGUGGAUAAUUGGUUACAUUUGAAUGUGCCAUCGCUGAUUGCACCUCUGCGGGUCUUUGCCACAGCAGCUGGAUUUCCUACUGACCUUUGGGUUGGAUGCGGUCUCGGUGUCAAAACCUCCCAGCAUCAAGAGAAGUGACAGUGAUAAUUCGCCACCGUCUCAGACUGCCGCAGUUUCGCCCCCACCGCUGCCGAGGAGGAUGUACUCAAGGUCAGAUUUUCUUUGUCAUAAAGUAUCGAUGUCUGGUACCCGUAGCCGCCGUGAGUACCCGAUAUGUAAAAAAUACCGCUGGUAUCGGUACUUUACCCAAUACUCCAAUUUCUUGUUUUAAUUGUGAUUGUACGCACAUGCGGCAAACGUCCAUAACUGAAAAACCGAUCACGGUGAUCUUCUCUCUCUCUUUUUUUUUUUAACAUUGCUGAAAAUCCCAAUCGAAAUCAGUGACGACUAUUAAAUGCUGGCCCAUGUUGCAGCCUUUUAAAGAGGACCGAGAAUAUCAAAGUGCAAACCAGGCUCCCUGCCGCUGCGUGCAGUUACAACAUUCAUACUCAUGUUUCUUCUCCAGGAAGCUUAUAAAUCAACUCCGUAGUUAAAUGUUACAUUAACGGUGCCGUCAUGUGUACUUA